GAAAUGUUGUGAUUGGCCAGCUGCUAAUGGAAUAGUACACGACCAAUGGGGCUUCAUGUUUUGGUUUUUUUACAUAAACCCUUAGGGUUUCCUAACAGCAUGGCUCAGCAUCAUGUUAUCAUGUUCAAAAAACAACAACAUUAAAAUCAAACCAAGCAAAAAAGACCAACAGCAUGGCAAAGGCAUUUCAUACAAGUUCAAAACAGCAGCAGUAUUCAUUCACCAUUCAAAGUUCAUCAUCAUCAAACUAUCA
This 253-nucleotide long non-coding RNA is filed under the name Lathyrus oleraceus (garden pea). Its description in RNAcentral is "Pisum sativum (pea) long non-coding RNA (PSAT_LNC012501)". Lineage: Eukaryota; Viridiplantae; Streptophyta; Magnoliopsida; Fabales; Fabaceae. The record is from RNAcentral.